CACUGGUACUCCAAGAAAAGCUCCUCAGCGUCUGUCAAUGAUCUCCUUCCAGAAAAUGGCAUUUGGGGAGUUACAGAAUGACAGGAUUCUUCCAAAGGUUUUCCUGUUUAUCAUACUUCUCCUGGUUCACUACAAUGAAGACAAAAAUCAAAAUGAAAUCACUGUCUAGAAAGAAAACAGAUGUCUACCAUCCUGUUCAAGGAACUCCUGACUGUGCCUCAAGCCAUGUGGAGUACACACAGUAACCAAAGUAACCCAAAGUAAUGUAUCCAAAACAGACAAGGUCUUUGCCAGAUCCCAC
Long non-coding RNA from Mauremys reevesii (Reeves's turtle), 301 nucleotides. RefSeq lists it as uncharacterized. The transcript is spliced from 3 exons. Lineage: Eukaryota; Metazoa; Chordata; Testudines; Geoemydidae. The record is from RefSeq and is a predicted model, not a curated record.